Podarcis raffonei (Aeolian wall lizard) is the source of this 1716-nucleotide long non-coding RNA. RefSeq lists it as uncharacterized. The record is from RefSeq and is a predicted model, not a curated record. NCBI's taxonomy places the organism in Eukaryota, Metazoa, Chordata, Lepidosauria, Squamata, Lacertidae. The transcript has 2 exons.
AGAGGCUCUAACAACCGUGAACAACCAUCUCCGCAGAUGUAUGGUGGACAGGAUCCCUUCUCUUUCCAUGGAACAGUUAUCACUUGCAGUGUUUGCCACCCCACUCCUUCCAACGGCCGUAUUGUACACCACUGGCCAGAAGCCUGGGACUGUGUCUAUUGUGGAAUGGCUUCAUUUGCCUCAUACUCCCCCGCGUAAUGUAUAUGCUACACCCAAUAGCGUCAUGGAUCUUGUUGCCAGGGGCAGACAUCGAGCCCUGGCUCUCUCCGGACUGGACUUAUUAUCAGUCUAUCUGCCCUUCUCCCAGGAAGAAUUUAUGCAUUUGAUGAUGACCGCCGUUUGUACUCAAAUAACUUUUGCUGAUUUUGGGGGGGAAAUUGUUCACAAUCCUCCCGGAGACACUCGUCUAUCUUUCCUUACAGAGCUGAGAUAUGUCCUCCGAACUGCUUUAUCCCCCUUGCCCCUGCCCUCCGCCCUCACGGUUUUUACUGAUGGCACUAAGUCCAGGGGGGGUGUGGGAAGAGGAGGGGGGAAUGGAGAAGUUUGUAUACUACUGAGCAGUCCUCAGCACAACGUGCUGAAUUGGCAGCUGUAAUUUUAGCAUUCCAACAGUUUGCUGAUAUCCCUUUCAAUCUCAUUGUGGAUACUCAGUAUGUAUAUAAUCUGUUGAAUGUGUUGCCGUUGUCGUAUAUUACUCCUGCUAUUGAUGAUAAUUUGUUUACAUUGUUCUCCACUUUGCAGAGCUUGGUACAAGCCAGAAUUUGUCCGUUUUAUGUAGCACAUCUUAGAUCACAUGCUGGUCACCCUGGCUAUUUGGCAGAAGGACAAGCAAUCGUCGAGCGUGCCCACUUGACUUUUAAGACCCUUCUCAACAAGCAAUUGGGAGGCCGCUCGGCUACUGUUUUUGAAAUACCUAAUAUUGUACAUCAAGUGUUGCUUACCUUAAAUCAUCUGUUGUACCCUCACAAUAGGAAUUUUACGCCUGCUGAACUUCAUUUCAGGAAGGAAGAAGUAUUGCAGCGCCCUUUAGUGUCUUACAGGUUGCUUCCAGAUCCACAGUGGAAGGGUCCAACUUCCUUGAUUUCCUGGGGUCGCGGAUUCGCUGCCAUUGACGUGGACGGAGAAACACGAUGGGUUCCAGCCCGGUGCGUUCGACCUUGGCGCUCUUCUGUUGCCUCGUCUUCGCCCAAGGAGACACCAGCGCCUUGAAACCGUAUUUUACGCUGUCUGCCAGUGAUGACCUCCCACCUGACCUCAACCCGCAUUGCAGUUGGAGACAUCACCAUAUUGAUGCGCCCUGGAUAGAGUCACCUUCCACAGCUGUUCCAGUGUUUCCCGGCACGUUGAAAGGCCAUCUUCGUCCCUACCGCAUUGGCCCCCCUUCCCCCUGGGAAGCCACUGUGACUACCAAUUACCAUUAUAGUUUUGCCGCCUCUUGUUUGGGAAAUGAGCCUGGCUCAUUUGAAGGAUGCCCUCGCCGGACUGGCAUUGCUUGGGUUUUGCCCCCCAAUAGCGGCCAUCCCAUCUGUGCCAUCACGUUCCGUUGGGUUUGGACUUUUGGCUCAGCAGUAUGAGGAGCAGUAAAUGAGGCCUAUUUACAGCAAAUGGGCUCCUGUGUCUGCAGAAAUGGUUGUGUGGCUUCUUCUGGAUUGUGGUUUUUACAUGCCAAUAAUCGAGCCACGAAAUAUCACGCAGGUUGCUCGGAAGCGGCCAUUG